AGUGAACGCUGGCGGUAGGCCUAACACAUGCAAGUCGAACGGCAGCACGGUAAGAGCUUGCUCUUACGGGUGGCGAGUGGCGGACGGGUGAGGAAUACAUCGGAAUCUACUUUUUCGUGGGGGAUAACGUAGGGAAACUUACGCUAAUACCGCAUACGACCUACGGGUGAAAGCAGGGGAUCUUCGGACCUUGCGCGAUUGAAUGAGCCGAUGUCGGAUUAGCUAGUUGGCGGGGUAAAGGCCCACCAAGGCGACGAUCCGUAGCUGGUCUGAGAGGAUGAUCAGCCACACUGGAACUGAGACACGGUCCAGACUCCUACGGGAGGCAGCAGUGGGGAAUAUUGGACAAUGGGCGCAAGCCUGGUCCAGCCAUACCGCGUGGGUGAAGAAGGCCUUCGGGUUGUGAAGCCCUUUUGUUGGGAAAGAAAAGCAGCAGGUUAAUACCCCGCUGUUCUGACGGUACCCAAAGAAUAAGCACCGGCUAACUUCGUG
This 492-nucleotide ribosomal RNA is filed under the name uncultured bacterium. RNAcentral describes it as "partial 16S ribosomal RNA". It matches the Rfam family "Bacterial small subunit ribosomal RNA", at positions 29 to 507 of the family's 1533-position model. The record is from RNAcentral.